Molecule: non-coding RNA, 182 nt
Organism: Anopheles gambiae str. PEST
Lineage: Eukaryota; Metazoa; Arthropoda; Insecta; Diptera; Culicidae
Rfam family: drz-agam-2-2 ribozyme
Source: Rfam
AGUACCGUAUGCUCUGCAAUGGGAUGGAAAGCGAAGCCCCAUGAGGGAUAAUAUACGCUCUCACAUCCAAUUACGACACGUCCUCGUCAUGCAGAGUGGUAACGUGUGCCACCACAUAUCCUAGCUUGGGUAUACGGGAUAGAUCCAACCCCUUGGGCGGAUGGUGGCAUAUGGCGAGGGGC